This 402-nucleotide ribosomal RNA is filed under the name uncultured bacterium. RNAcentral describes it as "bacterial SSU rRNA". It matches the Rfam family "Bacterial small subunit ribosomal RNA", at positions 355 to 774 of the family's 1533-position model. The record is from RNAcentral.
UGAGGAAUAUUGGACAAUGGAGGAAACUCUGAUCCAGCCAUGCCGCGUGAGUGAUGAAGGCCUUCGGGUUGUAAAGCUCUUUCAGGUGUGAAAAUGAUGAUGGUAACACCAGAAGAAGCCCCGGCUAACUCCGUGCCAGCAGCCGCGAUAAUACGGAGGAAGCGAGCGUUGUUCGGAAUCACUGGGCGUAAAGCGUGCGUAGGCGGUUAUACAAGUCAGGAGUGAAAUCCCAGGACUCAACCUUGGAAUUGCUUUUGAGACUGUAUGACUAGAGAUCUAGAGAGUUGGGGGAAUUCCGAGUGUAGAGGUGAAAUUCGCAGAUAUUCGGAGGAACACCAGUGGCGUAGGCGCCCGAACUGGCUAGAUACUGACGCUGAGGCACGAAAGCGUGGGGAGCGAAAC